GGGAGCCGCGGAGGUUGGUAUCUCCCCAUUAAAAGAACAUCUCUCAGACUCAGACGUUAUCCGACCACGUUGGCUGCGAGUUCUAUGAUCCGCCAUACACAGUGGGAAAGGAGAGGAAUCAGAACCUUAUUGUAAUUUGUAGGCCGGAGAGAGUGGAGCUGAUAUGUAGAGCAGAUGUUUAGAUUGUAGGUCGUUUGUUGUCUUUAUUCUACUUUCAUAGUUUAGGGAAUUUGAGAGAAAGGUAAACUCAACAGUGAUAAAACUGAGAAAAAAAACCCCUCGUUUAUCAUUUAUUCUGAGGAACAAAUGAGCUCUUGUGUCGACAAAUUAAGGAUUAUUUGCAAUGGCAGUGGACUCUGGAGGCAGUGAUUUUUCGGUGGAGAAGAUGAAUUGGAAGAGGCUGAGGUUUGUAUGUUCCACACCGUGCUCUGUUAUCUGUAAUGACAAUGUGUUUAAUUCUAGACAAAUCUGAGUUAUUUGCCAUGUGAUUUUGGUAGAUGUAUAAUUUUUAUAGGGUAAAAAUACAUUUUGUGGUUAAGCAAAAUUCUGUAUGUUUGAGUUUCUGUGCAUAAUAAAACAAAAUGGAUGUC
Long non-coding RNA from Ctenopharyngodon idella (grass carp), 590 nucleotides. RefSeq lists it as uncharacterized. The transcript has 3 exons. The record is from RefSeq and is a predicted model, not a curated record. NCBI's taxonomy places the organism in Eukaryota, Metazoa, Chordata, Actinopteri, Cypriniformes, Xenocyprididae.